Molecule: ribosomal RNA, 253 nt
Filed under: uncultured bacterium
Lineage: Bacteria
Description: partial 16S ribosomal RNA
Rfam family: Bacterial small subunit ribosomal RNA
Source: RNAcentral
UACGGAGGGUGCAAGCGUUGUCCGGAUUUAUUGGGUUUAAAGGGUGCGUAGGCGGUUAAUUAAGUCAGUGGUGAAAUCCUGGAGCUCAACUUCAGAACUGCCAUUGAUACUGGUUGACUUGAGUACAGACGAGGUUGGCGGAAUUGAUGGUGUAGCGGUGAAAUGCAUAGAUACCAUCAAGAACACCGAUUGCGAAGGCAGCUAACUAGGCUGUAACUGACGCUGAGGCACGAAAGUGUGGGGAGCAAACAGG